CAUAGGUUAAUGAGGCGAACCGGGGGAACUGAAACAUCUAAGUACCCCGAGGAAAAGAAAUCAACCGAGAUUCCCCCAGUAGCGGCGAGCGAACGGGGAGGAGCCCAGAGCCUGAAUCAGUGUGUGUGUUAGUGGAAGCGUCUGGAAAGGCGCGCGAUACAGGGUGACAGCCCCGUACACAAAAAUGCACAUACUGUGAGCUCGAUGAGUAGGGCGGGACACGUGGUAUCCUGUCUGAAUAUGGGGGGACCAUCCUCCAAGGCUAAAUACUCCUGACUGACCGAUAGUGAACCAGUACCGUGAGGGAAAGGCGAAAAGAACCCCGGCGAGGGGAGUGAAAAAGAACCUGAAACCGUGUACGUACAAGCAGUGGGAGCCUCUUAAUGGGGUGACUGCGUACCUUUUGUAUAAUGGGUCAGCGACUUAUAUUCUGUAGCAAGGUUAACCGAAUAGGGGAGCCGAAGGGAAACCGAGUCUUAACUGGGCGUUAAGUUGCAGGGUAUAGACCCGAAACCCGGUGAUCUAGCCAUGGGCAGGUUGAAGGUUGGGUAACACUAACUGGAGGACCGAACCGACUAAUGUUGAAAAAUUAGCGGAUGACUUGUGGCUGGGGGUGAAAGGCCAAUCAAACCGGGAGAUAGCUGGUUCUCCCCGAAAGCUAUUUAGGUAGCGCCUCGUGAAUUCAUCUCCGGGGGUAGAGCACUGUUUCGGCAAGGGGGUCAUCCCGACUUACCAACCCGAUGCAAACUGCGAAUACCGGAGAAUGUUAUCACGGGAGACACACGGCGGGUGCUAACGUCCGUCGUGAAGAGGGAAACAACCCAGACCGCCAGCUAAGGUCCCAAAGUCAUGGUUAAGUGGGAAACGAUGUGGGAAGGCCCAGACAGCCAGGAUGUUGGCUUAGAAGCAGCCAUCAUUUAAAGAAAGCGUAAUAGCUCACUGGUCGAGUCGGCCUGCGCGGAAGAUGUAACGGGGCUAAACCAUGCACCGAAGCUGCGGCAGCGACACUAUGUGUUGUUGGGUAGGGGAGCGUUCUGUAAGCCUGUGAAGGUGUACUGUGAGGUAUGCUGGAGGUAUCAGAAGUGCGAAUGCUGACAUAAGUAACGAUAAAGCGGGUGAAAAGCCCGCUCGCCGGAAGACCAAGGGUUCCUGUCCAACGUUAAUCGGGGCAGGGUGAGUCGACCCCUAAGGCGAGGCCGAAAGGCGUAGUCGAUGGGAAACAGGUUAAUAUUCCUGUACUUGGUGUUACUGCGAAGGGGGGACGGAGAAGGCUAUGUUGGCCGGGCGACGGUUGUCCCGGUUUAAGCGUGUAGGCUGGUUUUCCAGGCAAAUCCGGAAAAUCAAGGCUGAGGCGUGAUGACGAGGCACUACGGUGCUGAAGCGACAAAUGCCCUGCUUCCAGGAAAAGCCUCUAAGCAUCAGGUAACAUCAAAUCGUACCCCAAACCGACACAG
This 1454-nucleotide ribosomal RNA is filed under the name Escherichia coli. Its description in RNAcentral is "partial 23S ribosomal RNA". It matches the Rfam family "Bacterial large subunit ribosomal RNA", at positions 165 to 1662 of the family's 2925-position model. Lineage: Bacteria; Pseudomonadati; Pseudomonadota; Gammaproteobacteria; Enterobacterales; Enterobacteriaceae. The record is from RNAcentral.